AUUGAACGCUGGCGGCAGGCCUAACACAUGCAAGUCGAGCGGUAGAGCGAAGCUUGCUUCUCUUGAGAGCGGCGGACGGGUGAGUAAUGCCUAGGAAUCUGCCUGGUAGUGGGGGAUAACGUUCGGAAACGGACGCUAAUACCGCAUACGUCCUACGGGAGAAAGCAGGGGACCUUCGGGCCUUGCGCUAUCAGAUGAGCCUAGGUCGGAUUAGCUAGUUGGUGGGGUAAUGGCUCACCAAGGCGACGAUCCGUAACUGGUCUGAGAGGAUGAUCAGUCACACUGGAACUGAGACACGGUCCAGACUCCUACGGGAGGCAGCAGUGGGAAAUAUUGGACAAUGGGCGAAAGCCUGAUCCAGCCAUGCCGCGUGUGUGAAGAAGGUCUUCGGAUUGUAAAGCACUUUAAGUUGGGAGGAAGGGCAGUAAAUUAAUACUUUGCUGUUUUGACGUUACCGACAGAAUAAGCACCGGCUAACUCUGUG
RNAcentral lists this ribosomal RNA (484 nucleotides) under uncultured bacterium. Its description in RNAcentral is "partial 16S ribosomal RNA". It matches the Rfam family "Bacterial small subunit ribosomal RNA", at positions 30 to 507 of the family's 1533-position model. The record is from RNAcentral.